GAAGAGAAGAGAUGUUGGGAGACCUACAACUCAUGUUAGCUGAGGUGUGUGGUACAGCGUGUCCACUUUCCCUUUUCUUUUGAGUGAAUGUUUGUCGUUGGGGAACAUGACCGUGGUCUGAAGGAAAAAAGAAGCCAAUCCAGUAGUGGAAUGACGUGAACUAAAAGGCCUGUACACCUUUUCUGAAAGACAGGGAUGAACUCCUGUGUUCAAAGGCUGGCUGCGACGCGGAAUGACACGUGCAAAGAAAAGGCACAAUGAUUGGCAGCCACCGGUACUGUGAAAACACAUCGGCUUGAGUCAACACCUGUCUUAACAAAAUGUUUUCAUUCAGCCUCGAAAUGCAUAGAUAUGUAAAUGUGGGUGGGUGGGGGUGACUAUAACCAGGGAACUUUUACUACGGCGUGUAAUUAAAUAUUUCCCAGUGCAAAAUAAAGAUAAGGACUCCAUUAGGCCCUUAAAACAUUCCAGGAUAAUGGAUUUUUGGUGGUUGAUGGAGCGGCUCAUGUGGGACAGGUGGGAUUUACUCCCAGGCUCCGUCGGCGUGGCGACAGCAGCCAGCGCCAAGGCAUCUCGCGUGGUAAUCCGCCACCGGAGAAGAAGUCAGCGGCAUUUGAUGCACCAUUGGCACCGCAGGCAAAUGAGAUUACAGAGAGAGGGAAUGGAAUUGACUCUCUCGUUGACAGAUUUACAGAUCCCGCUGGAUAGAAUACAGGCAAAAGGGCUG
Molecule: long non-coding RNA, 727 nt
Organism: Oncorhynchus kisutch (coho salmon)
Lineage: Eukaryota; Metazoa; Chordata; Actinopteri; Salmoniformes; Salmonidae
Exons: 3
Source: RefSeq, a predicted model, not a curated record